AGCCUUUAGAGAGGAUUAAAGGUUAUACCUGCCCAAUGUUAUAUUAAUGGCCGCGGUACUUUGACCGUGCUAAGGUAGCACAAUCAAUUGGCCCUUAAUUAGGGUCAGGCAUGAAUGGAGUUACGGGGCUUAGCUGUCUCUAAACUAUUUAAUUGAAGUUGCUGUAUAGGUGAAAAAGCCUAUAUUAAGAAAAAAGACGAGAAGACCCUUAGAGUUUUACUUAAAAAAGAGUUAUUUCUUUACUAGUUUUGUUGGGGCAACAUAGGAGAAGAAUUAAACCUCCUAAAAGAUAUAAACCGAUGUUUUUAAAUAUGGACAAACUACCUUAGGGAUAACAGCAUAAUUUUAAAAGUAAGUUUGUGACCUCGAUGUUGGACUAGGGAACUUAAGGGCUAGCCGCCUUUUGGUAAGGUUCUGUUCGAACUAUAAUUCCU
RNAcentral lists this ribosomal RNA (434 nucleotides) under Chromodoris willani. RNAcentral's name for it is "partial 16S ribosomal RNA". It matches the Rfam family "Bacterial large subunit ribosomal RNA", at positions 1824 to 2596 of the family's 2925-position model. Lineage: Eukaryota; Metazoa; Mollusca; Gastropoda; Nudibranchia; Chromodorididae. The record is from RNAcentral.